GAUGAACGCUGGCGGCGUGCCUAAUACAUGCAAGUCGAGCGAACGGACGAGAAGCUUGCUUCUCUGAUGUUAGCGGCGGACGGGUGAGUAACACGUGGAUCACCUACCUAUAAGACUGGGAUAACUUCGGGAAACCGUAGCUAAUACCGGAUAAUAUUUUGAACCGCAUGGUUCAAAAGUGAAAGACGGUCUUGCUGUCACUUAUAGCUGGAUCCGCGCUGCAUUAGCUAGUUGGUAAGGUAACGGCUUACCAAGGCAACGAUGCAUAGCCGACCUGAGAGGGUGAUCGGCCACACUGGAACUGAGACACGGUCCAGACUCCUACGGGAGGCAGCAGUAGGGAAUCUUGCACAAUGGGCGCAAGCCUGACCCAGCCACGCCGCGUGAGUGAUGAAGGUCUUCGGGUCGUAAAACUCUUUUAUUAGGGAAGAACAUAUGUGUGAGUAACUGUGCACAUUUUGACGGUACCUAAUCAGAAAGCCCCGGCUAACUUCGUG
This 497-nucleotide ribosomal RNA is filed under the name uncultured bacterium. RNAcentral describes it as "partial 16S ribosomal RNA". It matches the Rfam family "Bacterial small subunit ribosomal RNA", at positions 28 to 507 of the family's 1533-position model. The record is from RNAcentral.